This 432-nucleotide ribosomal RNA is filed under the name uncultured archaeon. Its description in RNAcentral is "bacterial SSU rRNA". It matches the Rfam family "Archaeal small subunit ribosomal RNA", at positions 433 to 865 of the family's 1478-position model. The record is from RNAcentral.
GAAUAAGGGGUGGGCAAGUCUGGUGUCAGCCGCCGCGGUAAAACCAGCACCUCAAGUGGUCAGGAUGAUUAUUGGGCCUAAAGCAUCCGUAGCCGGCUCUGUAAGUUUUCGGUUAAAUCUGUACGCUCAACGUACAGGCUGCCGGGAAUACUGCAAAACUAGGGAGUGGGAGAGGUAGACGGUACUCGGUAGGAAGUGGUAAAAUGCUUUGAUCUAUCGAUGACCACCUGUGGCGAAGGCGGUCUACCAGAACACGUCCGACGGUGAGGGAUGAAAGCUGGGGGAGCAAACCGGAUUAAAUACCCGGGUAGUCCCAGCUGUAAACUAUGCAAACUCAGUGAUGCAUUGGCUUGUGGCCAAUGCAGUGCUGCAGGGAAGCCGUUAAGUUUGCCGCCUGGGAAGUACGUACGCAAGUAUGAAACUUAAAGGAAU